CACUCCUACGGGAGGCAGCAGUGGGGAAUUUUGGACAAUGGGCGAAAGCCUGAUCCAGCCAUGCCGCGUGCAGGAUGAAGGCCUUCGGGUUGUAAACUGCUUUUGUACGGAACGAAACGGCCUUUUCUAAUAAAGAGGGCUAAUGACGGUACCGUAAGAAUAAGCACCGGCUAACUACGUGCCAGCAGCCGCGGUAAUACGUAGGGUGCAAGCGUUAAUCGGAAUUACUGGGCGUAAAGCGUGCGCAGGCGGUUAUGUAAGACAGUUGUGAAAUCCCCGGGCUCAACCUGGGAACUGCAUCUGUGACUGCAUAGCUAGAGUACGCUAGAGGGGGAUGGAAUUCCGCGUGUAGCAGUGAAAUGCGUAGAUAUGCGGAGGAACACCGAUGGCGAAGGCAAUCCCCUGGACCUGUACUGACGCUCAUGCACGAAAGCGUGGGGAGCAAACAGGAUUAGAUACCCGAGUAGUCCCAUGAU
Molecule: ribosomal RNA, 476 nt
Filed under: uncultured organism
Description: partial 16S ribosomal RNA
Rfam family: Bacterial small subunit ribosomal RNA
Source: RNAcentral